GACUGACGCUCAGGUGCGAAAGCGUGGGGAGCAAACAGGAUUAGAUACCCUGGUAGUCCACGCCGUAAACGAUGUCUACUUGGAGGUUGUGCCCUUGAGGCGUGGCUUCCGGAGCUAACGCGUUAAGUAGACCGCCUGGGGAGUACGGCCGCAAGGUUAAAACUCAAAUGAAUUGACGGGGGCCCGCACAAGCGGUGGAGCAUGUGGUUUAAUUCGAUGCAACGCGAAGAACCUUACCUGGUCUUGACAUCCACAGAACUUUCCAGAGAUGGAUUGGUGCCUUCGGGAACUGUGAGACAGGUGCUGCAUGGCUGUCGUCAGCUCGUGUUGUGAAAUGUUGGGUUAAGUCCCGCAACGAGCGCAAC
Molecule: ribosomal RNA, 365 nt
Filed under: Salmonella enterica
Lineage: Bacteria; Pseudomonadati; Pseudomonadota; Gammaproteobacteria; Enterobacterales; Enterobacteriaceae
Also listed under: 1 other name
Description: bacterial SSU rRNA
Rfam family: Bacterial small subunit ribosomal RNA
Source: RNAcentral